RNAcentral lists this ribosomal RNA (678 nucleotides) under Triticum aestivum (bread wheat). Its description in RNAcentral is "partial small subunit ribosomal RNA". The record is from RNAcentral. Lineage: Eukaryota; Viridiplantae; Streptophyta; Magnoliopsida; Poales; Poaceae.
AUGGCCGGCGGCGGCAGGAGGCUCUCGGAGGUGCUGCGGGAGCAGCAGGAGCCGUUCCUCCUUCACGGAGAGCCCUGCUGCUCCGUCGCCGACGAGGGAGCCAGGGCUUCGUGGGGCCGGGCCGUGCGGAGGGCGCUGCCGCGGUGGCGGUGGGACGGCCUCGCCGCCGGAUGCUUCCCCUGCGCCACCCGCUGCAAGCGCGAGAGCUUCCGCCCGCUGCCGCGCGCCGGCCACGCGCGCUGCGACGAGGGCGUUGUUGGUAUGGAAUCCGACGGCGACGACGGCGCGAGGCGGCUCAGCCCGGUGUCCGUCCUGGACGUGCUGCGGUGCUCCGACGACGAGGAAUGGUCGUCGUCCCCCACGCUCAGCGACUGGGAGGAGGAGGAGGACGACGACGACAGGCCAUCGUCGACGCCAGGGAGCUCGCCGCCACCCGACCCGCUCACCGACGAGAAGUCGGAGGAGGAGUGGAGGAAGGUGGUUUCGUCCUGGGAGCGGAUCGCGGGGGACAUCGCAAGAGUCCCGGCGCUUGCGGAGCUGGACCUGUCGACCUCCAUGUCCAUGUCGGCGAGGGAGUGGCACGGGGAGGCGGAGGCCGAGCGGGUGGGCGCGAGCGUGGAGGCCAUGAUCUUCGAGGACAUGAGCGCGGAGGCCGUGCGCGACAUGGUCGAGCUGUAG